RNAcentral lists this ribosomal RNA (388 nucleotides) under Biecheleriopsis sp. RNAcentral describes it as "partial small subunit ribosomal RNA". It matches the Rfam family "Eukaryotic small subunit ribosomal RNA", at positions 582 to 975 of the family's 1831-position model. Lineage: Eukaryota; Dinophyceae; Lophodiniales; Lophodiniaceae. The record is from RNAcentral.
AUUCCAGCUCCAAUAGCGUAUAUUAAAGUUGUUGCGGUUAAAAAGCUCGUAGUUGGAUUUCUGCUGAGGAUGACCGGUCCGCCCUCUGGGUGAGUAUCUGGCUCAGCCUUGGCAUCUUCCUGAAGAACGUAUCUGCACUUGACUGUGUGGUGCGGUAUUUAGGACAUUUACUUUGAGGAAAUUAGAGUGUUUCAAGCAAGCGCACGCCUUGAAUACAUUAGCAUGGAAUAAUAAGAUAGGACUAUGGUACUAUUUUGUUGGUUUGUGCACCAUGGUAAUGAUUAAUAGGGACAGUUGGGGGUAUUCGUAUUCCAUUGUCAGAGGUGAAAUUCUUGGAUUUAUGGGAGACGAACUACUGCGAAAGCAUUUACCAAGGAUGUUUUCAUUA